CAAUUGCGUAUAUUAAAGUUGUUGCAGUUAAAAAGCUCGUAGUUGGAUUUCUGGUUGAAGCGACCGGUCGGGCGUUGAUUCGUCUGCACUGGAGUCGGUUUUGGCCAUCCUCUAGGAAAGUGCGUCUGGUAUUAAGUUAUCGGGCGUAUGAUCCUGGUCUUUUACUGUGAAAAAAUUAGAGUGUUUAAAGCAGGCCUUCGCCUUGAAUACAUUAGCAUGGAAUAAUAAGAUAGGACUUUGGUCUAUUUUGUUGGUUUGCAGACCGAAGUAAUGAUUAAUAGGGAUAGUUGGGGGUAUUUAUAUUCCGAUGUCAGAGGUGAAAUUCUUAGAUUUUCGGAAGAUAAACUUAUGCGAAAGCAUUUACCAAGGAUGUUUUCAUUAA
This 382-nucleotide ribosomal RNA is filed under the name uncultured eukaryote. RNAcentral's name for it is "partial 18S ribosomal RNA". It matches the Rfam family "Eukaryotic small subunit ribosomal RNA", at positions 592 to 976 of the family's 1831-position model. The record is from RNAcentral.